GGGUGGUUGGUGUAGUGGUAACACGAUCGGCUCCAACCCGAUCAACGGGGGUUCGAUUCCUCCACCACCUG
This 71-nucleotide transfer RNA is filed under the name Candidatus Latescibacterota bacterium. RNAcentral describes it as "tRNA-Trp". It matches the Rfam family "tRNA". From Rfam's summary of the family: Transfer RNA (tRNA) molecules are approximately 80 nucleotides in length. Their secondary structure includes four short double-helical elements and three loops (D, anti-codon, and T loops). Further hydrogen bonds mediate the characteristic L-shaped molecular structure. tRNAs have two regions of fundamental functional importance: the anti-codon, which is responsible for specific mRNA codon recognition, and the 3' end, to which the tRNAs corresponding amino acid is attached (by aminoacyl-tRNA synthetases). tRNAs cope with the degeneracy of the genetic code in two manners: having more than one tRNA (with a specific anti-codon) for a particular amino acid; and 'wobble' base-pairing, i.e. permitting non-standard base-pairing at the 3rd anti-codon position. Lineage: Bacteria; Pseudomonadati; Candidatus Latescibacterota. The record is from RNAcentral.